UGGCACCUUUGUCCACUUGUAAGAAGGCUAUUGGUUGCAAAUGGGUUUUUUCAGUGAAGACGAAUCCUGAUAACCUAUAGCCAGAUUGAAAGCACGUCUUGUAGUUAAAGGAUAUGCUCAACAUAUGUGGUGGAUUACUCUGAUAAUUUUUCUCUUGCGGCUAAACUAGCUUCAGUUCAAUUGUUUAUCUCUCUAGCAGCUACAUAUGAUUAGCCUUUGCACCAAUUAGAUAUAAAAAAUGCUUUUCUUCAUGGUAAUCUUCAAGAGAAGGUAUAUAUGGAACAACCACCAGAGUUUGUUGUUUAGGGGGAGUUGGGUAAAGUUUGCAGACUUUGAAAGUAUCUUUAUGGCUUGAAACAAAGUCUUUGGGCUUGGUUUGGGAGAUUCAGUG
RNAcentral lists this unclassified non-coding RNA (391 nucleotides) under Hevea brasiliensis (rubber tree). Lineage: Eukaryota; Viridiplantae; Streptophyta; Magnoliopsida; Malpighiales; Euphorbiaceae. The record is from RNAcentral.